RNAcentral lists this unclassified non-coding RNA (580 nucleotides) under Hevea brasiliensis (rubber tree). Lineage: Eukaryota; Viridiplantae; Streptophyta; Magnoliopsida; Malpighiales; Euphorbiaceae. The record is from RNAcentral.
AAGUAAAAGGAAGUGAGUAUCCGCGAAGUUACUACAAGUGCACACAUCCAAAUUGUCCAGUGAAAAAGAUGGUCGAAAGAUCUUUAGAUGGACAGAUUGCAGAAAUUGUCUACAAGGGUGAACACAACCAUUCAAAGCCUCAGCCUCCUAAACACAACUCAUCAGGGAUGGAAGGGCUGGGAAUUGUAUCCGAUGGCAAUGGUCAAGGCAUAAGUACCCCAUUAUGGAAUAAUCAUCUCAAUGAAAGAAAUGAAGGUUCUAAAUGUAGAGGUGAAGAUCAGAAUGAAAAAGGAUUGCCUCUUCAUUCGACUUAUCAGGCUAAAGCUCCAUCAUCCCAUGAUCCUGCUGGAACUGGAUCAAUUAAUGCUGGUGUUGCAACUCCUGAUAACUCUUGUGGGCUUAGUGGGGAAUGUGAGGAAGGAAGUAGGGGAUUGGAGGGAGAUGGUGAUGAACCUAAAAUUAAAAGGAGGUAAGAGAUAAAGCAUUUAGAUAGUUUGAAAAUCUGUGGCGUUUUCCACAUUCACCAUAUUGUUGGAAAAGUGAUAAUCAUCUGGUCUUUCAUCAGUUGAUGUUCAACGCU